This 356-nucleotide ribosomal RNA is filed under the name uncultured bacterium. RNAcentral's name for it is "bacterial LSU rRNA". It matches the Rfam family "Bacterial large subunit ribosomal RNA", at positions 114 to 487 of the family's 2925-position model. The record is from RNAcentral.
CUGAAUGGGGCAACCCGGCUAUUUGAAGAAUAGUCACCCGCAAGGGGGCGAACCCGGAGAACUGAAACAUCUAAGUACCCGGAGGAGAAGAAAACAAGAGUGAUUCCGCUAGUAGCGGCGAGCGAACGCGGACCAGCCCAAACCGUAUCUGUUACGGCAGAUUCGGGGUUGUAGGACUGCGAUAUUCUGUGCUUUAUGAACUGGAACGUACUGGAAAGUGCGACGAUACAAGGUGAUAGUCCUGUACAGGUAAAGACAGUUACAGAUAGCAGUAUCCUGAGUAGUGCGGGGCACGUGAAACCCUGUAUGAAUUCGUGGGGACCAUCCCAUAAGGCUAAAUACUCCUGAGAGACCGA